Molecule: ribosomal RNA, 510 nt
Filed under: uncultured bacterium
Lineage: Bacteria
Description: partial 16S ribosomal RNA
Rfam family: Bacterial small subunit ribosomal RNA
Source: RNAcentral
GACGAACGCUGGCGGCGUGCUUAACACAUGCAAGUCGAACGAAGAGCGACGGAAGCUUGCUUCUAUCAAUCUUAGUGGCGAACGGGUGAGUAACGCGUAAUCAACCUGCCCUUCAGAGGGGGACAACAGUUGGAAACGACUGCUAAUACCGCAUACGAUCUAACCUCGGCAUCGAGGAUAGAUGAAAGGUGGCCUCUACAUGUAAGCUAUCACUGAAGGAGGGGAUUGCGUCUGAUUAGCUAGUUGGAGGGGUAACGGCCCACCAAGGCGAUGAUCAGUAGCCGGUCUGAGAGGAUGAACGGCCACAUUGGGACUGAGACACGGCCCAGACGCCUACGGGAGGCAGCAGUGGGGAAUCUUCCGCAAUGGACGAAAGUCUGACGGAGCAACGCCGCGUGAGUGAUGACGGCCUUCGGGUUGUAAAGCUCGGUUAAUCGGGACGAAAGGCCUUCUUGCGAAUAGUGAGAAGGAUUGACGGUACCGGAAUAGAAAGCCACGGCUAACUACGUG